UACGUAGGGUGCGAGCGUUAAUCGGAAUACUGGGCGUAAAGCGUGCGCAGGCGGUUCGUUGUGUCGGCGGUGAAAGCCCCGGGCUCAACCUGGGAAUGGCCGUUGAAACUGGCGAACUGGAGUGUGGCAGAGGGGGGUGGAAUUCCGCGUGUAGCAGUGAAAUGCGUAGAGAUGCGGAGGAACACCGAUGGCGAAGGCAGCCCCUGGGCUGACACUGACGCUCAGGCACGAAAGCGUGGGAGCAAACAGG
This 250-nucleotide ribosomal RNA is filed under the name uncultured bacterium. RNAcentral's name for it is "partial 16S ribosomal RNA". It matches the Rfam family "Bacterial small subunit ribosomal RNA", at positions 524 to 776 of the family's 1533-position model. The record is from RNAcentral.